This 496-nucleotide ribosomal RNA is filed under the name uncultured bacterium. RNAcentral's name for it is "bacterial SSU rRNA". It matches the Rfam family "Bacterial small subunit ribosomal RNA", at positions 30 to 518 of the family's 1533-position model. The record is from RNAcentral.
UGAACGCUAGCGACAGGCUAACACAUGCAAGUCGAGGGGUAACAGGGUAGCAAUACCGCUGACGACCGGCGCACGGGUGAGUAACGCGUAUGCAACCUGCCUAUAACUGGGGAAUAGCUCCCUGAAAGGGGAAUUAACACCGCAUAACACUAUUGAUUCGCAUGGAUUAGUAGUUAAAUGUAGCGAUACAGGUUAUAGAUGGGCAUGCGUGACAUUAGCUAGUUGGUGAGGUAACGGCUCACCAAGGGCUACGAUGUCUAGGGGUUCUGAGAGGAAGGUCCCCCACACUGGUACUGAGACACGGACCAGACUCCUACGGGAGGCAGCAGUGAGGAAUAUUGGUCAAUGGGCGCAAGCCUGAACCAGCCAUGUCGCGUGCAGGAAGACUGCCCCUAUGGGUUGUAAACUGCUUUUAUAGUAGAAGAAACACAUCUACGCGUAGAUGUCUGCCAGUAUACUAUGAAUAAGCAUCGGCUAACUCCGUGCCAGCCGCCGC